UACGUAGGAGACGAGCGUUGUCCGGAGUUACUGGGCGUAAAGGGUGCGCAGGUGGCGGCGCGCGUGGGGGGUGAAAUCGCCCGGCUUAACUGGGCGGGGGCCUUCCAGACGGCGUGGCUUGAGCAGCGGAGGGGGACGUGGAAUUCCGGGUGGAGCGGUGAAAUGCGUAGAUAUCGUGAGGAAGACCAGUGGCGAAGGCGGGGUCUCUGGACAGUUCCUGA
This 221-nucleotide ribosomal RNA is filed under the name uncultured bacterium. RNAcentral's name for it is "partial 16S ribosomal RNA". It matches the Rfam family "Bacterial small subunit ribosomal RNA", at positions 524 to 743 of the family's 1533-position model. The record is from RNAcentral.